This is a long non-coding RNA of Alligator sinensis (Chinese alligator), 2052 nucleotides long. RefSeq lists it as uncharacterized. The record is from RefSeq and is a predicted model, not a curated record. Lineage: Eukaryota; Metazoa; Chordata; Crocodylia; Alligatoridae. The transcript is spliced from 3 exons.
CAAUCACCAUGUUAAAGUUCCAGAUUAUGAAAAACAUCCUUGCUAGAAACAAGACGGAAAAAAAAGUCAGAAAAUAUUUAUUGCCACAGCCAAAAGCUUUCUAACAACUGUUUGAUUUAGCAUUCAGGAUUUCGGAGUUGAUAUAACUAACAUGACAAAAAGUUCCAUUUAUAAAAAACCAUAAUUUGCCAUUCAGAUGACUGUUCAGAGAAUUACAGUUCUCUAAUGUCAAAUCAAAUUCUGCCUUUUGUUAGGAUAGCAGAGUAAACAGUCAUCGCUCUGGCUGUAUAUUAUAAUAAUUUAAUUGAUGGCUCCAGUGAUCAUUCAUAUGGUAUGACAGUGAAGCGUAAGUGGUUUAUGAUUAUGGUAUCAUUAAAUCCCAAGGCAAUUUCUAUGAGACUCAUGACAAGCCAUCUGUUGGGUUAUUUUAAAUAAAAUAUAGUACCAUCUUUACCUUAAGUACCAAAACAAUGGAAUAUUCAUUGGUACAACAACGUGAGAUCAUUAAAAAACUACCAAGCAAAAAGUGCACAGGAUGUUAGCAUUCUUCAUUGGUCACUGAACUGAGACGUUUACACCAUAAGAUUCAGCAUAGAGCAGCAAGUGACAUGGUCUCCCCAAAAUUUCUAGUCAAUGAAAGCAGCCUGAUUGAUUUUUCAUUUUCUAAUAGUAAAUGUGUUGCUCGUAAGAGCUGGUAGACUAAACGAUUAAGGCCCUACUUCAGUAAGCCUGGAAUUGUGCUUAAUUUUAAGCACAUACUUAAAUCCAUCAUUAGUCAGCAAAGCACUGAAGCAUGUGCUUAACUGUAAAACAACUGGUAUGUAAACAUGUGCCUUAAACACUUUGCCCUAAUGGAACCCAAGUCUUUUUCCACAGAACAGUUGGGAGCCAAAAGCUGCAGUUCAAUGUAAUGGUCUGCCAGCUAGCAAGCACAUGGAGCGAGGGAACCACCUCAAAAAGCAAUCUGACAUCUGUGUUGAUCAGGGAAGGUCAUGCUGCUUUCUGGCAAGCAGAUGGGCUGCACAAACUGAGACUUGACAGCACAGCGCUGGUUAUUCUUUUUCAGCUUGAUCAAAACUGCAGGAGAGAGAAUACAACAGCAAUAAGAUGAACACUGUCUCUUUUGAAUGGAACUGGCAGCAGUAGGUCCCAGGAUUGAUUCUCCAAGGAUCUGAGCAACUUGAACUUGAUCCACCGAAGUGUGCAAGCAUGUGUUUUCUCAAUGAUUUCAACAUGGCUACUCCUGUGCUUUAAGUUAAGUGUAUGCUGAAGGCAGAUUUUUAACAUUAUCUAGAGGUCUAAACAAUUUUCAAUCUGACCUCAAGUACUUUGCUGGAUAAGAACACUCAGGUAGUUUAAUUUGGCUGGACAAGGUUCUUUGGGUAAAUCUGAUAUCUUUUAUUAGACCAGCUCAAAUAGUUGGAAAAAUUCUUCUUUGCAAGCUUUCAGGUACAAAUACCCUUCGUCAGCUUUAGUUGCACACUUUGCCAUAUUUGGGACAGAGGGCUUAACUCUUUGCUUUAGCAAGCCCUCAAGCAAGCCCGUUGAGUUCAUUAUGUAAAUGGAAAAACUCAGACUUGCAUGUUGCUUCAGUCCAAGAGUUGGACACCAAGGGCCAGUGGACUUAGGCAACCAGGUGUGAUCCCUUCCUAUCCACUCAAGACCCUGAAAACACAGCGAGUGUAUGGAUCCUCCCGCUCACUGCUUUUUGUGACUUAGUCUUAAGCCGCAAAGCUGUGGCUCACCAACCUGAUUAAGGGCACAUAGAAAUCAGUAGCAAAACAACCAGCAAUUAAGAAUUAGAUGGGCCAGCUUGUAUUCAGACCAUUGGACCACCCUGUCAGCAAGAAAAGGAUGGAACUAUGCAGAUUAAUUUAGGCCUCAAUUACACCACUGUUAAUCUGGAGUCUAAAGAACUAUAGUAUUAAUAUUUUGUCCAUCCUGCAGAAGUAACUAGAAAUAUGCCUGAUUUACCGAUUCUAUAAUAGAAAUUCUGUUUGUGUUUUAAGUUGUUUAAAAAUUCUCUGUAUAAAUCAUAUAAAUAAAUAAAAG